UGUGCGAAUGAGGGGUUUUUGCUUCCCUGGAACUUAUUAUUGAAAUUAUGAAUUAUGCAUUCAACGCGCCGGCCACCCAAAACGGGUGGCCCAACUAAUUUGAAUAUAAAUUUAACUCAUAAAUAUAUAUAAGACGAGGCCCAGCGCAGCCGGCGCCAGUCCUGAAGUAACCAUCCCAACAAACAUGAAACAUAAAGCAAAUAAUCAACAAAAACACCAACUACUUGGCCGAAACAAGACGACAUCAGGUCAAGCAGUCAAGACAACAACCGCAAAAACAACGCCGGCAACUGUGGCAAAAGUACUUCAACUUUUAUGGCCAAGAUCCAAGGAGUCGGAGUCGAGUCGAGUGGAGUGGUCCAAGCUUUCCGUGUUGCAACAUAUUUUUCUUUUUCUGACCACUUUUCGGAUUCUGCCCACUGGAGGACAUGGCAUAAAAAUCAUCAUCAUCAUUAUCAUCAGCGCCACCAUCUUGGCAUUCCUGGGGCUCUUUACUUUUGCGGCUUGGCAUAAAUUAUGACGCUAAUUAAGUGUCUGUGAAGCUGUUAAUAACAAAAUGAAUGGCAAUUAUCAGAAAGGCGCCAAAAAGGAAAGAUAAAAGCUAAAUAGAAAUACUGGAGGCUUGGCUGGGCGGGCCCCCUUAGAUGGCAGGUCCUUCUCUCGGUUAUCGGUUGUGACAUUUGGGCAGCGUUCCGGAGAAAACGAUGGAUUCAAAAUCGAUUUUUUUUCCUAUCUCCCUACCUCCCAAUUGAAAUGAAACAAAAAUAUUGUUUCAUUUUUCCGUUGUUACGAGUAGUUCCGACUUUUUUAAUAUUCAAAUCCUUGCAUAAAUUAAAAUUUGAGUUUAGGAAUGCAUAAAUAAACAUAACAUACCUUCAUUAAACAUGUAUAAUCAAUUUUUCUCUUAAAAUAAAUAACAAUAAAUCCCUUACAUUUUAAAUCAUUCGUUUUCACAGUUUUUCCGUAAAAACUGUCAAUUAAUAACCAUCUAUUUAAAUGACAAUAAUGUUAAUCUACUAAUGUGGCUAACAAAAAAUGCUUAAAUGUGCCAAAUUAACCUCAUAAAUAAUGAUAAUGGGAUACUAUUAAA
This is a long non-coding RNA of Drosophila ananassae, 1090 nucleotides long. RefSeq lists it as uncharacterized. Lineage: Eukaryota; Metazoa; Arthropoda; Insecta; Diptera; Drosophilidae. The transcript has 3 exons. The record is from RefSeq and is a predicted model, not a curated record.